AACGAACGCUGGCGGCAUGCCUAACACAUGCAAGUCGAACGAGACCUUCGGGUCUAGUGGCGCACGGGUGCGUAACGCGUGGGAACCUGCCCUUAGGUUCGGAAUAACUCCCCGAAAGGGGUGCUAAUACCGGAUAAUGUCUUCGGACCAAAGAUUUAUCGCCUUUGGAUGGGCCCGCGUUGGAUUAGCUAGUUGGUAGGGUAAAAGCCUACCAAGGCGACGAUCCAUAGCUGGUCUGAGAGGAUGAUCAGCCACACUGGGACUGAGACACGGCCCAGACUCCUAGGGGGGGAACCGGUGGGGAAAAUUGGACAAUGGGCAAAAGCCUAAUCCAGCAAUGCCGGGGGGGUGAUGAAGGCUUUAGGGUUGUAAAGCUUUUUUCCCCGGGAUGAUAAUGACAGUACCGGGAAAAAAAGCCCCGGCUAACCCCGU
RNAcentral lists this ribosomal RNA (432 nucleotides) under uncultured bacterium. RNAcentral's name for it is "partial 16S ribosomal RNA". It matches the Rfam family "Bacterial small subunit ribosomal RNA", at positions 29 to 506 of the family's 1533-position model. The record is from RNAcentral.